GCUCCUGGCCCUGCUCAUGGUGGCCCUGGAGGGGAGCUUCCUGGUCCGCUUCGUCUCCCGCUUCACCCAGGAGAUCUUCGCCUUCUUGAUCUCGCUCAUCUUCAUCUAUGAGACCUUCUACAAGCUGGUGAAGAUCUUCCAGGAGCACCCCCUGCAUGGCUGCUCAGCCUCCAACAGCUCAGAGGUGGACGGCGGUGAGAACAUGACAUGGGCCGUGGCAAGACCCACGCUGGGGCCGGGCAACAGGAGCUUGGCUGGGCAGUCUGGGCAGGGGAAGCCCCGGGGCCAGCCCAACACGGCCCUGCUGUCGCUGGUGCUCAUGGCCGGCACCUUCUUCAUCGCCUUCUUCCUGCGCAAAUUCAAGAACAGCCGGUUCUUUCCUGGCCGGGUGCGUGGGCUUAAAGGCCAAGAGGGGGUUAGGGGCAGGAAGGGGGGUGGCAGGAAGUCAGCGGCUCUGGUGGCAGGCCUCUGAGCGCUGUGCCUGCCCACUCAGAUCCGGCGGGUGAUUGGGGACUUUGGGGUGCCCAUCGCCAUCCUCAUCAUGGUGCUUGUGGAUUACAGUAUUGAGGACACCUAUACCCAGGUAAGGUGCUGCCCGCAGCAGGCAAGUGCUGCUGCCUCCGCCACCCCAGGUCUAGGUGUUCCCCUCCAGCCUCCAAACCCAGCCUGUCCUUAAGCUUAAGCCUGUCCUUAAGACACCAUCCCCUUUCCAUGGCAUGCCCUCCACAUUCACCUUAACCCUUGUCCCUACACUGUGUCUGCCCUGCAGAAACUGAGCGUUCCCAGUGGAUUCUCGGUGACUGCCCCAGAAAAGAGGGGCUGGGUCAUCAACCCCCUGGGAGAGAAGAGCCCCUUCCCUGUGUGGAUGAUGGUUGCCAGCCUGCUGCCCGCCAUCCUGGUCUUCAUUCUCAUCUUCAUGGAGACACAGAUCACCACGCUCAUCAUCUCCAAGAAGGAGCGCAUGCUGCAGAAGGGCUCCGGCUUCCACCUGGAC
RNAcentral lists this small RNA (994 nucleotides) under Pongo abelii (Sumatran orangutan). Its description in RNAcentral is "retained intron". The record is from RNAcentral. Lineage: Eukaryota; Metazoa; Chordata; Mammalia; Primates; Hominidae.